Aegilops tauschii subsp. strangulata is the source of this 1069-nucleotide long non-coding RNA. RefSeq lists it as uncharacterized. NCBI's taxonomy places the organism in Eukaryota, Viridiplantae, Streptophyta, Magnoliopsida, Poales, Poaceae. The record is from RefSeq and is a predicted model, not a curated record.
UUUGGAUGUUCUGCUAAUUUUUUUGGAAAAUGAUUUGGAUCAUGUUUGGAGCCAAAAUCAUUUCUGUAAAAAAUGGACUAAAACCUUAAACCUAUUUCUAUCCGAGCCCAGCAGCAGCAUCAGCGCUAGGCCCAGCCCAGCAAGCCAUCCGGCCGAUGCCACCCGCGUCAGCAGCUUUAGGACCACCUGCCAGCCUCUCUCCUCCUCCCUGUUCGACUGACGCGCGGACCCCAUCGCCUCCUUCUUCCUUCCUGAGUCGGUCUCCCUCUGCAGCACGACAGCGCCGCCACGGCCGAAACAACCACACACAGAUCGCGUGAUCCCUAACCCUCUCGAUUGAAACCGUGGACACAGAUCAACUCCUCUAGAUCCUGUCCUUCAAUUCCCCUCCUUGCCUCGCGGGACCGAGCUUGCAAUCGAGCGCAGCGACCCCGGUGAGCUCCGCCCGCUUGAGCAGCGCCGACGAGAAAUUCUGCCGCCUCGAAUACCUCUGUUUCGAACGCCUCCCCUCCUCCCGAAGCUCAUGGCGACCAUCCCAAAUCCAGCCGCAUGCCCUCGUCACUACAAGACACACGGGAGCACUCCAUAGAGUCCUUUGAGUUCACCAUGGUGAUACGCGUCCUUCAGUGUGAUUCCUGAGCCUCAUGGACCACUGGAGUUAUGCCAUCCUCAACCACAGCCGCACCACCGCCAUGUUCUUCUCCGGCAAAUAUUCUGGUGAGGAAUUCUCCUUGGACCGAAACCCUAAGCUCCGAAAGAACAUCAAUCGUGGAUUGCCACUUAAUCCAACGCUCCUUGUUCAAUCCUGGCCCGAACCGGUAUCGGCGAAUGCCCUGCUACCACGUGUCAUCCUAGUUCGUAUAAUUUUUCCCAGCCGAAAAUGUUCGUGUAUUUUUACAGACCCAUAUGUUCAACCUAUCAUAUCUCUUCAACCUUAGCUCCGAUUGAGGUGAAACUUUUUUCAAAGUGACACUUCUAAAACUACUUUGCCACUGAAUUCAUAAUUUUUAACUUUCAAAUUUUUCAAAUUUGAUUAAUUCAAUUUUGAAUGCAAAGCUUAACUUGAUCA